ACCGGAGAUACAAACCCAGAACAGGACCCAAACAAACACUACCGGAGAGAAAAGAGUCAAAAACACCGGGUCAGUGUUCUUUCCGGGGUGUCUGAGGGUAAAGGAGGGACUCGAUUGACUUAUACUAAGGUCAGGGGGGACGAGGAUCAAAAAGAAAAGUGGUGAUCCCCAAAAAUGAGCUCUUUCCAAAAGGCAGCCCCAAGAAAAUACUCACUUUCCUGAGACUGAAAGGCCGGCGGCUGGUGGGAGGUUCAAAGAUGGUGAAGGUGAUUGCUAACCCAUGUGUGGGGGUCAGAGGACAGCUUCUGGAGUCAGUUCUUUCUGCAAUCUGGGGAUCAAACUCAGAAAGUAGAUUUUAAUGAAGAAAACUUUCCAGAAGCACUUACAUCAGAGAACACCGGAAGCCACUCUGUUCUAGAAAGCAAG
This is a long non-coding RNA of Microtus ochrogaster (prairie vole), 426 nucleotides long. RefSeq lists it as uncharacterized. The transcript is spliced from 3 exons. Lineage: Eukaryota; Metazoa; Chordata; Mammalia; Rodentia; Cricetidae. The record is from RefSeq and is a predicted model, not a curated record.